Molecule: ribosomal RNA, 540 nt
Filed under: Zygoascus hellenicus
Lineage: Eukaryota; Fungi; Ascomycota; Dipodascomycetes; Dipodascales; Trichomonascaceae
Description: eukaryotic LSU rRNA
Rfam family: Eukaryotic large subunit ribosomal RNA
Source: RNAcentral
ACCACAGGGAUUGCCUUAGUAGCGGCGAGUGAAGCGGCAAAAGCUCAAAUUUGAAAUCUGGUACUUUCAGUAUCCGAGUUUGUAAUUUGUAGAAGCAACUUUGGUGAUGGUCUUUGCAUAAGUUCCUUGGAAUAGGACGUCAUAGAGGGUGAGAAUCCCGAUAUGGUGAAGAACCCACACUAUGUAAAGUGCUUUCGAAGAGUCGAGUUGUUUGGGAAUGCAGCUCAAAGUGGGUGGUAAAUUCCAUCUAAAGCUAAAUAUUGGCGAGAGACCGAUAGCGAACAAGUACUGUGAAGGAAAGAUGAAAAGAACUUUGAAAAGAGAGUGAAAAAGUUCGUGAAAUUGUUGAAAGGGAAGGGAUCUAAAUCAGACAUGGUAUUUUGUGAUCAACAGUCUUUCGGGAUUGUGCACUCGCAUUUUACUAGGCCAGCAUCGGUUAGAAGGGGGUAAAAAAGAUUUUGGAAUGUGGCUCCUCGGAGUUUAUAGCCAAAGUUAAUUGCCCCAUUUCUGACCGAGGACCGCGUCUUUUGACUAGGAUGC